UCAAUUAUUCCCUUAAGAGAAAACUUGUCUUUAAUGUAAAUUAAGGAUAAUCUUAAAUAAUUAAAUAGGAUUUAAGGUUAAAACUGCAGCAAAUUGAAACAUCUUAGUAGCUCAGUACAAAAAUCAAAAGAGAAAUUGAAAGUAAUGGAGAAUGAAAUCAAUUUAGUUUAUAAUAAUAUAUAAACCUUAAAUAAAAUGAAAUUAAAAGUUUAAAAUAGAGUAAAUUUAAGACUCGUAAUUAAUUUAAGACUUAUAUUAAUUAAAUUAAAACGUAAAAAAUUAUGUUUUUUUGUAGAAUUAACUACAGAACUAUUGACUCUAAAUAAUUAAUAGUGAAAAGUACCGUGAGGGACCGUUAGCGUUCUUGGGCGUAUUCUAAUUUAAUAGCUUAUAAACAACUUUUUAUAAAAAGGUUUACCUUUUGCAUUAUGGUUCGGUCAGUUAAAUUGUAUAGCAAGCUUAAAAAUUAAAUAUUUAAAAAGCGAAAAUAAUUAAAUUUAGAAGUUAUAAAAUUUAAACACGAAACCAACGUGAUCUAUUCAGAUUCAGAUCGAAUAUUUAGUAACAAUAAAUUAGAGGAUCUAACCGGUGUUUGUUGCAAAAAACUCGGGUGAAAUUUGAAUUGGAGUGAAAGGCUAAUCAAACUUGGCGAUAGCUUGUUUUCUGCGAAAUUCUUCUUAGAGAAGCGCUUAAAAUCAAAAUUUUAGGGUAAAGCACUGGUAGAAUUGAGGUUGUUUAUUUAGCAUUACAAAAUUCGUCCAAACUCUGAAUAUAAAAUUAUGUUUUAAGUAGUUAGAUUAUAGGCUAGAAAGUUUAUAAUCAAAAGAGAAACAACUCUAAUUGGUUUUUAAGGCUUUAAAAUAAACUUUAAAAAUAAGAAACUUUUUUAUUGAAACAUUAUUGUUGUAGGCUUAGAAACAGCCACCAUUUUUUGAGGACGUAACAGUCCCUAUGCACAAGUAAAAAAUUGUCUAAAAUAAAAAGAAGUUAAAGUUUUGCCGAAAAACCAAAAUAAAUAUAUUAGUUUAUUGGUAGCAGAACGUCUUGUUUAUUUAUUUUUUUGUGAAAAAAACUCAUAAUAAAUCAAGAUUGAUAAUGCCGAAAUGAGUAACAAAAAAGGUUAUAAAACCUUUCACCUUUUAUUUUAGGUUUUCUUCGUUAUAUUAUAUUUCGUUGAGUUAUUCGAACUCUUAUUUUUAGGUGAAAACUUUAAAAAGAUGAGUAAUUAUAAGUUUAAUCAGCUAAACUAUUAACUAGUUUUGAGAAACAAGAAUUAUAAACUAUUUUAUUUAUACUGGUUUACUUAAAAACUGUGAAUAGUUCUUCUGGAAAAUCUCAAAUGUUAAGGCUUAUAAAAAAUCGUACUUAAACCAAACAAGGUAAAUUUGUUUAUCAAAAUAAUGGUGAAAAAAUUAAAAAAAAAUAUGGAACUCGGCAAAUUUACCCCGUACCUUAGGAAUAAGGGGGAGCAAUUUCUAUUAGUUAAUUGCUGUAAAAAGAAAAAAUCUGCGACUGGUUAUUAAAACCACACGACUAUGAUAAACUAAUAAUAAAUAUAUGGUCGGACUGGUGCUAAAUGCCUGUACAUUGAACACAAAAUAGCAUUUGCUCUUUGAUAAUAUCAGGUCAAUAGCGGUCUUACUCUGAGGAUCGUAAUGUAGCGAAAUUCCUUGUCUAAUAAAUAUAGUCCCGCAUGAAUCCAGCAACGACAGAUUUACUGUCAUAUCUUUUUGUUUUGUGAAAUUGAAAUAGAAGUGCAGAUUCUUCUUUGUAGCACCAAGACGAAAAGACCCUUUUAACCUUUACUAUAAGCAAUUAUUGCUAAAACCUUAACGUAUUGUUCAGAAUAAACAACAGCUUAUGAUAUUUUUGUUUACAAAAAUAGAAGCAAAUGUGAGAUAUUGUUCUUUACUGGGUUGAGGCUAAUUUUUCGAAAGACAGUAAUUGCCUGUUAGUUUCUUUGGGGCGAAGUUCUUUUAAAAAGUAACAAAGAAGCGCAAAAGGUAAAUUCAGAUGAAAAAUUUUAUUUUAGAGUGUAAAAGCAAAUAUUUACUUAACUGUAAGACUGAUAAGUUAAGCAGAAAUGCAAGUUGGCUUUAAUGAACCAAUUUUUCUGAUUGAAAAGGAAAUUGUUCAUCAGAUAAAAGGUACUAUAGGGAUAACAGAAUAAUAAAAACCAAGCGAUCAAAGCGACGUUUUUGUUUGUGACCUCGAUGUCGACUUAUGGGAUCCUCAGUGUGAAGAAGCUCUGAAGGGUUUGACUGUUCGUCAAUAAAAGCCGUACAUGAGUUGGGUUUAAAACGAUGUGAAUCAGUUUUGUUUCUAUCUGGUGUUGCUUGAUAAAACAAAGAGUUUUCUUAUUUAGUAUGAGAAGAAUAAUAAGAGUAAGCCAAUUGUUACUGGCCAUUUUCUAACAAUGUUCAGAUAGCGACGCUUUAAAAAAUAAAAAAUGAAAGCAUCUAUUUAAGUUUCAAGUUUUACUCAAAACAGGUUUUAUUUCUUAUAAAAAAUGAAUCUUAAUAAAGUAGUCUAAUAUUAAGACUUAAAUCGGCAACAAGUUUAUUGUUGUAAUUUUAUUUGCUUAGUUGUAC
RNAcentral lists this ribosomal RNA (2591 nucleotides) under Isochrysis galbana. RNAcentral's name for it is "partial Bacterial large subunit ribosomal RNA". It matches the Rfam family "Bacterial large subunit ribosomal RNA". The record is from RNAcentral. Lineage: Eukaryota; Haptophyta; Isochrysidales; Isochrysidaceae.